Long non-coding RNA from Panonychus citri (citrus red mite), 3291 nucleotides. RefSeq lists it as uncharacterized. The record is from RefSeq and is a predicted model, not a curated record. The transcript is spliced from 4 exons. Lineage: Eukaryota; Metazoa; Arthropoda; Arachnida; Trombidiformes; Tetranychidae.
GAAUUUUUUGAAAAAUUUGUAUGUUGAUUUAUCGAUGAGGAUCUGAUUAAACUAUGGGCCUGAUGUGUAAAAUUUGGAUUUCUACAGUUUAAAUGAUGCUGAUGAUAAAAAAUAGUGAUACAAGGCUGAUGAUGAUCUUGUUAUUGUUUUUGUUGCUAUUGAGUUUUCCCUUGAAAACAAUUUCCAAUUGUAAACAAGGAGGAUUGUCUAUUCAACUAAAUUAAAGGCUUCAAGGUAUCCCAUUUAAUGAUGAUUCCAGUUGAAAAAUCAACUUUAUUAAAUGAUUUUUGUAAUAAUAAGUAACUAGAUUGUUAACAUACAUCUAAACCUAUUUAUUACUUUCUUUUGUUGCCAUUUUAAGGAUAUUAUUGGUGUUGAUUACAAGGAUAAUGAUAAUCCAUGAUAAGGAUGGUGUUAUAAUGGUGUAAUCCCCUCAAUUGAGAUCUAGUAAAGCAAAAGAAAGUGGAUGAUCAAAGGUUGUUGGAUGAAGAUGAGGAUGAAAAAAACAGCAUGAGAAACAUGGGCAAGUCUUAUAGCUGAGCUUCCAUUUUUUCCUCUUCUUCUACAAAAAUACUCAAAGUUCUGAUAUUAGACAAUAACAAUGGUGUUGGCAGAAUCGGAGAGAGAGAGAGAGAGAGAGAACAAGCUGAUAAUAAGAUGUUCUCAAAGAAGGAGUUGUGAAAUGUUUAUCUGAUCACACAUUAUAUAAAUUGUGUUUCCAUAACCUAUCAUUAUAGAUUAUCAAUCAGCGAGAGAUGGUAAGCAAUCGAGAAGGCAAAAUGAUGAUCAUGUUGAUACUGAUUCCUGAUGACGAUAAUGAUGAUAAUUAUACAUUUGAAUUGUGCAAGAGUUAAAAAGAGGUAACACUUUGAUUGUUAUUGCUCACCAUGGACUCAGAAUCAAUCUUAACUGUAACAAUCAGGAUACUUACGAUAACAAAUUUCCAUGAUGAUUCCAUCUCUGAUUCAAUUUUUGUUAUUCUUCUCAUUUUAUCAACUAUCUAUUAUUGAUUUCUCUCUAGGGUAUUCAAACUUAUUCAAAUUGUUUUUUUCCAUAAUUUGAAUAACCAAAUCUCCUCGAUGAUUAACUUGGAAACAUUAAUUUCCAUGCAGAGUCAAAUUAUCGUCUAAUGAUUUAUGAAUUAGUUAGUUACUCCUAGAUGUUCAAGCACGUUAAUAUUACAUAUUGAUGAGAGGGAAAAAGAUUAAGUGAAAAGCAAGGUUGGUUAAUCGUUUUGAGAUAACACUCAGAAGCAUGAAACAUCACCCAUGUAACCGGCUUCUCAUCACCUUAACUUGAAUAUAUUUACACCAAAGAGUGUAAAUAUUAUAUUCCCUUAUACAUACGAAAAGGGCGGUUAAUAUCUCUCUCUCUCUCUCUCUCAGGUAUUAAGAAUUGACUAUUUAAAAUUUUACCUUUUUUCAUCACCAUCACCAUUAUUUAUCAUUAUCUUUACCUUGAUCAUCAUCAUUAUGAUAAUAAUCAACAUCAUCUCACUUACCUUUUCCCUCCUUAUUACUUUGAGAGUGAGAAUCAAGAGGGAUGAGAUUAAGUGGGACCGCUUUUAUAAUUUUUUGAAAUUGAACAAAAAAUUAUUGCUAAUACAUUGUAGUGAGAGUGAGUGAGUAGAGAGAGAGAGAGAGAGAGGCUAUCAUGUAUUAUGUAGCAUGAUGAAACUAAAUCAUUACCAUUUGUAGUGUUCAGGUAACUUGUAAUUACAGGUACAACAAUCUUAUUGCUUGAUAGCGUUUUUCAUUUUGUUGUUUUUCAAUGUUAAUAUUACAAAGGUUAUCUAAAGAGGGAAAGGUGAAUGUGAAGAUGAAAUUGAUGAUGAAGAUAAAGGUGAAAGUGAUGAUGAUGAAAUUGUUGACCGUGGGCAUUUAACUACCAUGAUAAUCGUCAAUGUUGAUAUAAAGUUUCUCUCUCUCUCUCUCUUUCUCUGUUGUUUCAAAUAUCUUCUUAUGGAAUUGAUUCCAUGGCGAUUUUUAAUCUUUUUCAUUCAUUUUCUAUUAUUUUUUAGAUUAAUUAACUUUGGUGGUGUUGGUGAAAUGAGAAGACAAUGAGAGCGCUAAGGAAAAUGGAUUUAGUUAAUUACUGGAAAAUAAGCUGAUUGAUAAAGUGAAUGCUAUGUUGAUUUCGUGCAUUAAUUGUUGGCUUUCAAAGUGUAAAUUAUCAACAAUCAUGAAAACAUAAUCUAAAUUCAUCAAGUUUAACUAGACUAUAUUUAUAAUGAUAAUGGAUCAUUUGAUUGUCAUCAUCAUCAUUACAUGAUGAUUAUAAUCAACAUGAAUGAUAAACUCUUUGAAUGUUUGUUUUACUUUUAAAUCAUUAAGAUUUUCAAAUGUUAUCAUUAUUUUUUUUGCUUUAGCUCAACCCUUUACAUUAUAAUUAUAUUAAUCAUUAACAUCUAGAGUGACAAACUAAUCUGUACAAUUAAUGAUGAUGAUAAUUAUUAUAAUUGUAUUACAAAUGUAAAAGUUUCUCAUCUUCUUGUAUCAUUAACACUGAAUCAUAUCCUUGUUAGUGGGGUGGUUAACAUGUUGAAAUGUUUUUCUCUACACAAAACAAACUUACCUGUGAGAACGUGUUGACAACAACACUAUCAACGACCGGAUGAACGUCAACUUAUUAUCGCCUUACCUUAAAUGUUAUUUCAUUUCAGUUCUCUCACUUCAUAUUCAUAUUUAAUAAGCUUCUUUGCCCUAAAGAAAUAAUAUUUUUUUCUCUUCUAAAUUGUAAUUUUUUCUUUCCUCCUCUGUCUAUCUGUCUGUUUCUAUUUCUAUCUCUCUGCCUCUCUCCUUGUUAACAUAAUGACUACAGGGUAUAUCCAAGAUGAUGAGGAUCAUCAUCAAGGUGGAUUGUGAUGUAGGGGCAAUCGGAAAGGUGACAAGGUUAAGGAUGAGGCACCUACGGAGACACAGUAAACAUGGUGGUUAACACUCAUAGGCUGUGAAAAUGAAUCAACAUAAAUAUAUAUAAUAAAGGAAGACAAUGACAAUGAUGAGGAUGAUGAUGGUGAUGGUGAUAAGGAUGAAGAUGAAGAUGAAGAUGCGUUCACAAGUUAAAUGGAUAAUCUUUUCAUUAUAAUAAUAUCAAAGAGGGAGACAUAUAUUUAAUUAUUGUUAACCAUUUUAACUCGAUUGUUUUUCUUGUACUUUCACUCUUUGUUUUUGUUUAAACUUACACACAAAAAUUUAAAGAUAUAAUAACAAUUAACUUUACAAUUGUAAUUACAAUUAACCGUUGAUAACAUUUAUCAUGUAAUUACUGUCAACUUUUCAACUUUAUUCU